AACUUUCAACAACGGAUCUCUUGGCUCUCGCAUCGAUGAAGAACGCAGCGAAAUGCGAUACGUAAUGUGAAUUGCAGAAUUCAGUGAAUCAUCGAAUCUUUGAACGCACCUUGCGCCCCUUGGUAUUCCGAGGGGCACACCCGUUUGAGUGUCGUGAAUAUCUCAACCUUCUC
RNAcentral lists this ribosomal RNA (173 nucleotides) under Lactarius trivialis. RNAcentral's name for it is "5.8S ribosomal RNA". The stretch from base 1 to 154 matches the Rfam family "5.8S ribosomal RNA". Rfam says of the family: 5.8S ribosomal RNA (5.8S rRNA) is a component of the large subunit of the eukaryotic ribosome. It is transcribed by RNA polymerase I as part of the 45S precursor that also contains 18S and 28S rRNA. Functionally, it is thought that 5.8S rRNA may be involved in ribosome translocation. Lineage: Eukaryota; Fungi; Basidiomycota; Agaricomycetes; Russulales; Russulaceae. The record is from RNAcentral.